Melospiza georgiana is the source of this 2442-nucleotide long non-coding RNA. RefSeq lists it as uncharacterized. The transcript is spliced from 2 exons. NCBI's taxonomy places the organism in Eukaryota, Metazoa, Chordata, Aves, Passeriformes, Passerellidae. The record is from RefSeq and is a predicted model, not a curated record.
UGCUUUGCCGCUAUAUCCUGAAGCACCCUCAUGAUUCCUGCACAGGCACCAGAAUUGCACAGACUUUCUACUACUGAGGCUCCCUAGAAGCUGAACAAUGAUAGUGGUGAAACCAUCUAUGAAGCCAUCUAUGACAGGCAGCUUGCCUGGAAAGACACUGUGAAUUCACCUCUGAUCCGCACCAGUAAAACCUCCUGUUAAAUGGAGAAAGUCAAGGCUGGUGCUUGUCUUCUUUCAUUGCCUUCUCAGGAUGUUCAACUUGUGAUGACUGCAACAAAAGCAGACAUCUGACAUGUCUACUGGCCUCAGGGCAGUGGAAUGGCAUGACAGAGCUGCCAGUCCUGUGGCUUUGAUUGGCUUACCCCUUUCCACCUCCUCAAUUUCUAUUUAGAAGUUGCAUGAGAUUUUUUAAACAAGUGCCUAAAUUAACUGGCACAAAUCAUCUUGCCCAGCUGAAUACCCAAGUGAAAUACUUUAUUUUUACAUAUCCAAGACAUUUAAAUGCAAUUUGAAGACCUGGGUAGCGCAAAGACUGAAUAGUCAGCAUGCACAAUUUUCUUCAUUUAGUUUACUCUUUACCAGGUAGCCCAGGCUGAUGGUGACUGACACUCCUUGGCUUUUGUGACAGUUUAUGUUUAUGCAGCAGCAGAUCUUAAGUGAGUAUUAGUAUCAAAACAGUCAAUCAAUAUUGGCAGUAAGUGGUGGCUUUACUGCAAAUCCUUCAAGCAGAAAGACUAAAACUAGGGGAAUGCAUUGAACUACUUAGCCCUUAUCUCUUAAAUACACAGCAUGGCUUGAAGGCUGGGCCAUGAUGGCAGCCUGGAGUUUAGUGGUUGAUAGCAGUAGCUGCAUUCCAGAAGCUCAUUCCUCCUGGCUGGGCUGUGUGGGGCUCAAUGGCCUUACCCAGAGCAGGGCAGGACUGCAACUGGGAGCAGGGCAGCAUGCCCAGCUCUGAUGCCAGACCAGCAGUGAGCAAGGACAACUUCAUCAAAAAAGGCAGUGACAUUUAUAAGGAAGAAGAGAAAAAAUAUUACAAUUUCUCAUACCUGGACAGUAAAAGUGCAGAUGGCAGUGACAUUUAAGGGAAGACGUGCAUGAACUAUGUCUUUCAAAACCUGAUGGUCAUUUGUAGAUGUAGACAGGUCUGUCAAAGCAGCUAAACCUUGAAACUACUUUAAUACUACUUGUGAUUAAACUGCUAUGCCUGGCAAAAGCUAGAAGGGAAAAAGAUGCUUUCUUAGAAAGGGGCUGGUAAUAGCACAUGACCUUGGACAGUUUAUUAAGUAAGAAUCAAGUAAAAAGGUGCCUGGACAAAGGAAACCCCUAAAGCUUAUGACUAUUGGAAUUAAUAUGGUAAGACCUCAGGCAAAGACGGCAGACGACAAUUAGUUCAGACUUAAUAGGCAGUGUUUGCAGAUGUACAAUACAUCUUGGAAAACACUGUAUUACUUGUUCAGGUUUCUGAAAAACGUAGAAGUCAAUAAUAAAAUACAAAUUGUUAUAAAGACAGGUAAUGGAAAGCUGUAAGUUAGAGGACAUGUUAGGUCAGUUUAUAAUCACAGAGAUGCUCUCAUUUUCUGUCAUGCACGUUGUUUGCACUGUUGGUUUCUAUGGCAUUGGUUCCCAAGAAGAUUGAAGAAACUAAUGUGUGAGUUAAACAAUAUAAGAUUUUUAAAACAUUCCUUGAAGUAAUAAACAAACAAGUGAUGCUGUGAGCAGCCUGACUUUAUCUUGUUGUACUAUUGUGAAAGAUAUUAUUAAAAAAACCCUAUAAAUGCUAUAACAAUGAUGACAACAUGAAUCACAAGACAAUUUGUGAAUCUACCACAUUUUUCUACCAUAAAUUAAUUUACGUAUCUUUUGAACACACCUAUUUUUAACCACACAAUAGAGGUUCCAAUGUGGUACUAUAAUAUUACAGUACAAUAUCACAAUGUGAUAUCUUGUACAGAUUGUGCUCAACAGGGUUUGAAUUUGGGGUGAAAUAAGAGGGGUGGAGGAGAGAGGAAAUUCCAGCAUGUGUUACAAAGUGUACAGGCAAGUUAUUCUGAGGAAGUACCUCAAAUAUCUUUGACCCACAGCAAACAAAAAAUAAACAAACAAUCCAAUCCUAAAAAAAAUAUUUUGCAUUUCACAAUUUGACAGCAUUGUGGCUACAGUUUCCACUUGUGCUAUGUCCUGUGAUUUGUUCAGGGGAACCAUUUCUCUUCCAGAAAAUAUUAGCAGGAAGAUGUUCUUCCACUUUCAUGGGAAAGUGAGAUAUUAGUUCUGGCUUAUUAAACUAUUUCAGCAAAGGGCUUCCUAGCAUCACAGAGAUGUGAAAUGUCAAACAUCUACAUACUAUAUUCCAUCCUUAUGCUAAUGCCUAACUAUUCCCUAUACUAUGCAAAAUGUGUUGUAACCCAGGGCCUGACAUACUAUCAAUUAAAUAUCUUUUUCUGA